This 742-nucleotide long non-coding RNA is filed under the name Phasianus colchicus (ring-necked pheasant). RNAcentral's name for it is "lncRNA (ENSPCLG00000015225.1)". Lineage: Eukaryota; Metazoa; Chordata; Aves; Galliformes; Phasianidae. The record is from RNAcentral.
AUAGAAAUGAGUGACUGUGGUGACAGCCAUCAUCAGGGUCAUGGCAUUAGACUAGCAGGAGGCGGCAUUUAUUCACAAGUUUACAUAAAUGGAAACAUGGCAUUCCUUUCUUAACUGUCUCCAUCUUGGCCUGGGACCAGUGUUUCUAGUACAUCCAGAAUUACGUAUUUGUAGAACUUAAGUACUAAAGAUGUACAGUUUGCUCUUUUUAAAUUGGAUCCUCUUGCAGUCUUCACUUAUGGACACAGGUCAUGUCUUGGCCAUACCAGAAGAAUUUGGUUUGGAGGCAACCUUGGAGAAGCACACAGACUGUUUGAUUUUAUCCGAAAGCUACUUUUCAAGAUAUGGAAGACUGAAGAAUUUUACAAGAGCAUGUUAACCUUUAACCUGUGUGUUUGCAAUAAGGAGAUCUUUACUGGAAUGAAAAGACAUUGUAUACUAGCACUAGAGCUAUAAAGGCAAGGAUUUGCUCUUUAUGCAUAUACCAAAGACACUGUGGCCUCCCACUCAGCAGCCCACAGGGGAAAAAUCCUAUUUUGCAGGAAAAAAAAGUUGUUCUUCUUGUUAGAUAUUUUCUUAGUAUAACUGUGUUGGGUAGGGCUUAGACCUUUGUACUCUCCCUGAACAAAUUCCUUGUAGUGAAAACCUAUAUGAAUACUGCGUUUUUACAUCUAAUGUCUGCAUCUGGAGGCCAUGUGCCAGUGUCAUAUCUUCUUGGGAUGUGCUUUCUCCUCGUUUCCUA